Long non-coding RNA from Myxocyprinus asiaticus (Chinese sucker), 271 nucleotides. RefSeq lists it as uncharacterized. NCBI's taxonomy places the organism in Eukaryota, Metazoa, Chordata, Actinopteri, Cypriniformes, Catostomidae. The record is from RefSeq and is a predicted model, not a curated record. The transcript is spliced from 3 exons.
UGGACCUAAAGAGAUAUUCUUCUAAAAAACUUUCUUUGUGUUCUGCAGAAGAAAGAAUGUCUUACACAUCUGGGACAGCAUGAGGCAUGUGUCCUGUAUGAACGGCUCCUCGCUCUGUGCUGCCUGCUCAUGUUGCAAAACAGAUCAGUGCCCAGGCAGCUGUGGACAAACCUGUAUGAGUGAUGGAUGGGAACCUGCCAGGUGAAUUAUUUAAGAGAGGAAGGAGGAGGGGGAAGUCAACAUCAGUCUGAAUCCUACCAGAGGCCCUGCC